UACGUAGGUGACAAGCGUUGUCCGGAUUUACUGGGCGUAAAGAGCGCGCAGGCGGUCUAUCAAGUCGAGUGUGAAAGCCCCCGGCUCAACUGGGGAGGGUCAUUCGAUACUGAUCGACUCGAAGGCAGGAGAGGGUAGUGGAAUUCCCGGUGUAGUGGUGAAAUGCGUAGAUAUCGGGAGGAACACCAGUGGCGAAGGCGACUACCUGGCCUGUUCUUGACGCUGAGGCGCGAAAGCUAGGGGAGCAAACGGG
This 253-nucleotide ribosomal RNA is filed under the name uncultured bacterium. RNAcentral's name for it is "partial 16S ribosomal RNA". It matches the Rfam family "Bacterial small subunit ribosomal RNA", at positions 524 to 776 of the family's 1533-position model. The record is from RNAcentral.